GAUGAACGCUGGCGGCGUGCCUAAUACAUGCAAGUCGAGCGAACGGACGAGAAGCUUGCUUCUCUGAUGUUAGCGGCGGACGGGUGAGUAACACGUGGAUAACCUACCUAUAAGACUGGGAUAACUUCGGGAAACCGUAGCUAAUACUGGAUAAUAUUUUGAACCGCAUGGUUCAAAAGUGAAAGACGGUCUUGCCGUCACUUAUAGAUGGAUCCGCGCUGCAUUAGCUAGUUGGUAAGGUAACGGCUUACCAAGGCAACGAUGCAUAGUCGACCGGAGUGUGUGACCGGCCACACUGGAACUGGAACACGGUCCUUACUCCUACGGGAGGCAACAGUAGGUAAGUUUCCGCAAUGGGCGAGAGUCUGACUGAGCAACGCCGCGUGAGUGAUGAAGGUCUUCUGAUCGUAAAACUUUGUGAUUAGGGAAGAACAUAUGUGUAAGUAACUGUGCACAUCUUGACGGUACCUAAUCAGAAAGCCACGGCUAACUACGUG
This 497-nucleotide ribosomal RNA is filed under the name uncultured bacterium. RNAcentral describes it as "partial 16S ribosomal RNA". It matches the Rfam family "Bacterial small subunit ribosomal RNA", at positions 28 to 507 of the family's 1533-position model. The record is from RNAcentral.